AACGCACCUUGCGCUCCUUGGUAUUCCGAGGAGCAUGCCUGUUUGAGUGUCAUUAUAAUAUAUCAACCUCUUCAGCUCUGCUUGUCGAGUGUUGGAUGUGGGGGUAUUCUUUUUUGCUGGUCUCUCUUUGAGGUCAGCUCCCCUAAAAUAUAUUAGCGGAACAAUUUGUUGACCGUUCAUUGGUGUGAUAACUAUCUACGCUAUUGACGUGAGGCAGGUUCAGCUUCUAAUGGUCCAUUGACUUGGACAAAUCUUUCAUUAAUGUGACCUCAAAUCAGGUAGGACUACCCGCUGAACUUAA
This 301-nucleotide unclassified non-coding RNA is filed under the name uncultured Cortinarius. RNAcentral describes it as "sequence contains ITS2". The stretch from base 1 to 52 matches the Rfam family "5.8S ribosomal RNA", at positions 103 to 154 of the family's 154-position model. The record is from RNAcentral. Lineage: Eukaryota; Fungi; Basidiomycota; Agaricomycetes; Agaricales; Cortinariaceae.